This 73-nucleotide transfer RNA is filed under the name Stegodyphus dumicola. RNAcentral describes it as "tRNA-Thr". It matches the Rfam family "tRNA". Rfam says of the family: Transfer RNA (tRNA) molecules are approximately 80 nucleotides in length. Their secondary structure includes four short double-helical elements and three loops (D, anti-codon, and T loops). Lineage: Eukaryota; Metazoa; Arthropoda; Arachnida; Araneae; Eresidae. The record is from RNAcentral.
GCCUUCGUGGUGUAAUGGUAAGCACGCUCGGCGUGUAUUCGAGAGGUCUGAGGUUCGAGUCCUGGCGAGGGCA